CCAACAAUCAUCAUUGCCCACGAGUUUUAUGACGCUUUACCUAUUCAUCAGUUUCAGAGGGCUUCUCGUGGUUGGUGUGAGAAAAUGGUUGACAUAGAAGAAGAUUCAGCGUUUCGCUUUGUUCUCUCGCCUGCGCCUACACCUGCAACUGUUUUUCUUGCAAAGCGCUGCAAGUGGGCUGUGAAAGAGGAAGUAGACAAGCUUAAUCAAAUUGAGAUUUGCCCACAG
Long non-coding RNA from Chenopodium quinoa (quinoa), 228 nucleotides. RefSeq lists it as uncharacterized. The record is from RefSeq and is a predicted model, not a curated record. The transcript has 3 exons. NCBI's taxonomy places the organism in Eukaryota, Viridiplantae, Streptophyta, Magnoliopsida, Caryophyllales, Amaranthaceae.